GCCCAGACUCCUACGGGAGGCAGCAGUGGGGAAUAUUGCACAAUGGGGGAAACCCUGAUGCAGCGACGCCGCGUGAGUGAAGAAGUAUUUCGGUAUGUAAAGCUCUAUCAGCAGGGAAGAAAAUGACGGUACCUGACUAAGAAGCCCCGGCUAACUACGUGCCAGCAGCCGCGGUAAUACGUAGGGGGCGAGCGUUAUCCGGAUUUACUGGGUGUAAAGGGAGCGUAGACGGUUCUGCAAGUCUGAAGUGAAAGCCCGUGGCUUAACCGCGGAACGGCUUUGGAAACUGUGGAACUGGAGUGCUGGAGAGGCAAGCGGAAUUCCUAGUGUAGCGGUGAAAUGCGUAGAUAUUAGGAGGAACACCAGUGGCGAAGGCGGCCUGCUGGGCUUUUACUGACGCUGAGGCUCGAAAGUGUGGGGAGCAAACAGGAUUAGAUACCCGCGUA
Molecule: ribosomal RNA, 446 nt
Filed under: uncultured bacterium
Lineage: Bacteria
Description: bacterial SSU rRNA
Rfam family: Bacterial small subunit ribosomal RNA
Source: RNAcentral